RNAcentral lists this long non-coding RNA (1024 nucleotides) under Bactrocera tryoni. RNAcentral describes it as "uncharacterized LOC120768224, transcript variant X2". Lineage: Eukaryota; Metazoa; Arthropoda; Insecta; Diptera; Tephritidae. The record is from RNAcentral.
AAGGGCAAAUUUUUUUCGGAAUACCUCGUGAAUAAAUAGCGAAAAUGUGCAAAUUCAUCUAUCUGUGCUAUGGCAGCUGUAGACAAAAUAAAAAUUUUGUUUUCCCUUAAGUGAAAAGUUUGGAAAAUAACUCAGUUAAAGGCUAAUUAGAAUGCAUGAAGCCGGCAUAAAAAUUGGUCGAAUUGCUGCUUCAAUGAACCGACAUCGUAAUACAGUCACAAAUUAUUUGAAACAUCGUCAAAACAAUGAUGAUAUCAAGCGUAUUGGUCGGUUACCAGCGAUUGAUAAGCAGACCAAGAUACGCAUUCAUCAUCCUGCUUGCAAUGAGUCUCCGCAUGACACUGACCACCUCUAUGCAUGCCCUGCCAACCCCACCCAUCUAACACCCCUUUCCCUUGUGUCGACUCCGUCGAAACAGCACGUUUUCUGGGCCUCUCGCUAGAUAACGUCGACGACAACCUGGAUAACCUUUACCAUCCUAACGAUUGAUAUACCAUUAAAACAACAACAACAACGCAUUCAAUUCUAAGCAACUAGCGAAAGCAUGAGAAUUAGGCCUACCAAUCACUUAACAGCGUGUUCAGCAGCAUGAAGCAUGGAAUAAGACUUAAGUUUGAAUCAAAAGUAGCCCAGUCGCGAUUGAAUAAGCGACAUAAAGAUGCCCGUCUUUAGCUCUAUAUGUACUUUUCACCGACUAAGGUGAAUGCCGAAGUAUACAUUGAUCUACUAAAUAGAAGACAACGCCCAGAUUCGUUUGGCGAACGCUACAAAAGCAUUUUUUCAGUCCCGGAAUAUUGAAUUAUUGGAUUGGCCAGCUUUGAGUCUUGAUCUCAACCCUAUAGAGGACCUUUGAGAUAUACUUACGGCUAAAGUAUAUGCACAUGUCAAGCGAUAUGAUACUAUUGAGUUAAAAAUAGUGAAAAUUCAGUUAACCGUUCUGCAAAACCUAUUAUUAUAUUAUGUGCUCUGGAUACUUUAAGGGGGUAUUCUGGUCUAGAAGCAUGAAUUGCAGGUAAUUUUUAAA